RNAcentral lists this ribosomal RNA (253 nucleotides) under uncultured bacterium. RNAcentral's name for it is "partial 16S ribosomal RNA". It matches the Rfam family "Bacterial small subunit ribosomal RNA", at positions 524 to 776 of the family's 1533-position model. The record is from RNAcentral.
UACGUAGGAGGCGAGCGUUGUCCGGAAUUACUGGGCGUAAAGCGCGUGUAGGCGGCCUGCCAAGUCUGCUGUGAAAGCGCCUGGCUUAACCGGGCGAGGUCGGUGGAAACUGGCGGGCUGGAGGCCGGUAGAGGGGGGUGGAAUUCCCGGUGUAGUGGUGAAAUGCGUAGAGAUCGGGAGGAACACCAGUGGCGAAGGCGGCCCCCUGGGCCGGGCCUGACGCUGAGACGCGAAAGCGCGGGGAGCGAACGGG